Molecule: non-coding RNA, 179 nt
Organism: Camelina sativa (false flax)
Lineage: Eukaryota; Viridiplantae; Streptophyta; Magnoliopsida; Brassicales; Brassicaceae
Source: RefSeq, a predicted model, not a curated record
AAAUUGCUGCCUGUGACAUCAAAGCAGAGGAUACUAUGGUGAAGGAGAAAUUAUGGACUUUGAUAUCUCUAAAUGAGCCUUCACUUGUGCAAAUCAGUUUGGCCUCAAAACUUUCGAGUGAAGAUUGUGUAGUAUGUGUUGAGCUUCUUGAGGUGCUCCUCGUGGAACAUUCCUCCAGG